This is a long non-coding RNA of Triticum dicoccoides, 1969 nucleotides long. RefSeq lists it as uncharacterized. The transcript has 8 exons. Lineage: Eukaryota; Viridiplantae; Streptophyta; Magnoliopsida; Poales; Poaceae. The record is from RefSeq and is a predicted model, not a curated record.
GACGCCACACCAGAUCCCCUCGCCGUUGCCCUCGCCCUCGCAGCCGCCGCCGAUCCCCUCUCCCAUCUUCCUCCCUCAAACGCUAACCCGUCUCGCGGUGCGCCACCGCCCGCCGCGGCCGCCCCCGCCACCUCCCGCCGCGGCCGCCGCCCCAGCUCCAGCCGUGGCCGUCGCGCCCAGAUCCAGCCGCGGCCGCUGCCCUGCGUGCCAACGACCCCUUCCCCCGCCGCCGCGCCACAGGUGCCGCCAUGGCCGCGUCAUGGAGCUCGCCGCCAUGGGCUGCGUGCCCCUCCGAUGAUGGCCUGCCUCGCCCACGUCCAGAUCUACAAGAGAUCAAGAAGGGUGAUGUUCUGGAUGCUGAUCUCGACUAAUAGUUGCCGGAUGAACUAUGCAAUGACAACAUGAAUGAGCUUUGUGUGCAGUUCACAUUUACCUGGUGGACCAUCACCAACCGGAUGGAGGUGAAGCAAGUGGGCAAGUCAGGGAAAUGCUCGGAAGGCUAUCGAGAAGAUCAACGAUCUUAACCCCACGAUCCUAAUUUCAGUUUGUACCUCGUUGUUGGGCUGUCAGAAAAGUUUGGAGCAGGAGCAAUGAUAUGACAAUUGUGGCUAACUUUCUUGUCAUUAGUCAUAUAUGUGCUAAUGGACCUUCCGGGUUCUCCAUUAUGUUUACCGGCCGGUUUCUCAUCUGAAAAAUACCCCAUAGCAUAGUGGACAAUGCUUUUUUUGGUCAGAAGUAGUAUUUCUACAUGAAACUAAGUUAUAUAUGCGUAUGAGAAAUGUGGCUUAUCUUUUGAUAAUGCUUUUUUUGUUAGAAGUUGUUUUUCUACAUGAAAUUAAGGUAUAUAUGCGUAUGAGAAAUUAUAUCUUUGCUUAACUCAAAAAAUUGUAUUUGCUCCUUUUAGCGGGAGCCUGGAGGUGAUACGGUUUGUACAUCAUGGUUUGAAUAAGAUAUUGUUUGUAUACUGUUGAGUGAAGUAUUGUAUAACUACUGUAAAGUGGGUGUAGGUUUUUAUUGUGCAUUUUUCACAGAGGUUUGGGCGUUUGGACACAACCAUAUGUACAAGUUGAAGCCUUCAUUUGCAAGCAUUUCUUUAGGAAACAGAGAAAAUCACAGCAACUAUUUGAUGUUUCUCGACGCUUGAAGACAACAAGUGAAGUUGUUGCUACCAUCUUACAAGCCAAAGUCAUGAGAAAGCCGGGUGUUAAAAUGUUGGGAGAUUACAAAGUUCAUGCUCUAUUCACACAUGGUGGAGGCAACCCAACAAGUUGUUGUGGGAGCCAGCAGAGAAAGGAGUCGAGGAACCCGCAUCAUGGGAGAGUCAUCGAGGGGCAUCCGGAUAAAGCCUAUAUACUGGAUGAGAUUCUCAUUGCCGGCAUUUUUCAUGAACCUAUCAAGGAGAACAUUUCAAUACUAAUUGCAGCACAUGUUUUCUCACCACCGGCUAGCAAGAAGAGAGUAUGAUUUUCUAAUGCUCAGUGUUGUAAGCUUGAUUCACGAGGAGCUUCUCAAUGUUGUACAUGUUGUUUGUGAGUAACAGAAAUAAAUCAUUUCCUGGAAUCAGACGCUAUAUUUUCUGUGGGAAUUAAACCAUUUCCUGGAAUCAGACGCUAUAUUUUCUGUGGGAAUUCGUUGACACAGUUCCUUACAACACUGAGAAUCUUUGAAGUGGGCAAACCGCUCUAUGUAAUUCUAUCACCCAUUCUGAUUUUGAGACAAGUAUAUCAGUUAUCUUUUUCCUUCUAGCAAGGCUAUCUGGAAUGAUUGCAUGUAUUAAUGAAGUAGUCCACGUUAGGUGGAUUGGCUCAAAAUGGAGAAGCAUGAUUGUAUUAAGCAUUUAAGCUCUAAGCAAUUUAGAAUGUCAAUGUCUUGGGGCUCCCUUGCAAUAUUUCAGAGAACUAUAUUUUUCCAGACAUUUUAUAUUGCCUCAUGAUAUUUGGGGGAUCUGAUUAGGUAUUGUUUCUCUAUA